This 511-nucleotide long non-coding RNA is filed under the name Heterocephalus glaber (naked mole-rat). RNAcentral's name for it is "lncRNA (ENSHGLG00000050021.1)". The record is from RNAcentral. Lineage: Eukaryota; Metazoa; Chordata; Mammalia; Rodentia; Bathyergidae.
CUGCUCCUUCGGCCAGGGGAGUCCUUGUUCUCCGCGCUUCAGCGCUUCCGCGCUUCCGGGUUUCUGGCUCUGGGUUCCUGGCUCCGCCCGGGAAAGUUGGGGAAACCUGAGCACGCCCAUUUCAUGGAUGGCACUACGGAGGUCAUGGCUCUGAGGAUUGUCCAGGGCACCGCAGUCCACCCGCUAGCUAGGAAACAGAAGACUGUGUGGACCAGGAGCAGGAUAUAGGAUGAGAGGUUUCACAGCGAGGAUGCCUGAGGAGCUUGUGCAGAUGUCUGCCUUAGCUCCCUCAUGGUGACAGAGUGGCCCUGGGAUGCCUUUCUGGAGGCUACAGGGUGGAGGAGGGAACUUCAUGGAGGCAUCUGGGUUGGAGCACAAGGCUGGAGGAGUUGCAAUGGAAGUGUUCUGUGAAGCCUAACUCGGUUCCUGAACAAGCAGCGAGGUACCAGCUGCAGUGUAUGCAUGACAGGCUGGAAGGACCCUGCUACUGCAAGGCAGGCGGCAGAACCAC